GAUGAACGCCGGCGGCGUGCCUAAUACAUGCAAGUCGAGCGAACAGACGAGGAGCUUGCUCCUCUGACGUUAGCGGCGGACGGGUGAGUAACACGUGGAUAACCUACCUAUAAGACUGGGAUAACUUCGGGAAACCGGAGCUAAUACCGGAUAAUAUAUUGAACCGCAUGGUUCAAUAGUGAAAGACGGUUUUGCUGUCACUUAUAGAUGGAUCCGCGCCGCAUUAGCUAGUUGGUAAGGUAACGGCUUACCAAGGCAACGAUGCGUAGCCGACCUGAGAGGGUGAUCGGCCACACUGGAACUGAGACACGGUCCAGACUCCUACGGGAGGCAGCAGUAGGGAAUCUUCCGCAAAGGGCGAAAGCCUGACGGAGCAACGCCGCGUGAGUGAUGAAGGUCUUCGGAUCGUAAAACUCUGUUAUUAGGGAAGAACAAAUGUGUAAGUAACUAUGCACGUCUUGACGGUACCUAAUCAGAAAGCCACGGCUAACUACGUG
RNAcentral lists this ribosomal RNA (497 nucleotides) under uncultured bacterium. RNAcentral's name for it is "partial 16S ribosomal RNA". It matches the Rfam family "Bacterial small subunit ribosomal RNA", at positions 28 to 507 of the family's 1533-position model. The record is from RNAcentral.